CAGAGAUGCUUUGGUGCCUUCGGGAACUCUGAGACAGGUGCUGCAUGGCUGUCGUCAGCUCGUGUUGUGAAAUGUUGGGUUAAGUCCCGCAACGAGCGCAACCCUUUAUCCUUUGUUGCCAGCGGUUCGGCCGGGAGCUCAAAGGAGACUGCCGGUGAUAAACCGGAGGAAGGUGGGGAUGACGUCAAGUCAUCAUGGCCCUUACGGCCAGGGCUACACACGUGCUACAAUGGCGCAUACAAAGAGAAGCGACCUCGCGAGAGCAAGCGGACCUCAUAAAGUGCGUCGUAGUCCGGAUUGGAGUCUGCAACUCGACUCCAUGAAGUCGGAAUCGCUAGUAAUCGUAGAUCAGAAUGCUACGGUGAAUACGUUCCCGGGCCUUGUACACACCGCCCGUCACACCAUGGGAGUGGGUUGCAAAAGAAGUAGGUAGCUUAACCUUCGGGAGGGCGCUUACCACUUUGUGAUUCAUGACUGGGGUGAAGUCGUAACAAGGUAAGCGUAGUGCU
Molecule: ribosomal RNA, 509 nt
Filed under: uncultured bacterium
Lineage: Bacteria
Description: bacterial SSU rRNA
Rfam family: Bacterial small subunit ribosomal RNA
Source: RNAcentral